RNAcentral lists this long non-coding RNA (388 nucleotides) under Rattus norvegicus (Norway rat). RNAcentral describes it as "long non-coding RNA NONRATT029741". The record is from RNAcentral. Lineage: Eukaryota; Metazoa; Chordata; Mammalia; Rodentia; Muridae.
UGAAUCCGAAUUGGAAAAUCAAGCCAGCAAAUCAGGAUAAACCUGAAACUGCACCGGGAAACACACGAGACAUUUGUCUGCACCGUGGAAAGAACGCUGUUUGACUCUCUUUGUGUGUACAGCACAGUCCUGUGACAGAAAACUCCAGUUCUCCCAAGAAACAAGCACGGUGAACUUGUGUUUUUCCAAGCUGACUUUAUGUUUGAACUCGGCAGCCCAGUUCUAGGGAAAAUCAGAACCGCGGUGGGCAGUGCCCAGCUUCUCAUGGCGCAGAAAUUCUACCAGUUCAGAGAACUGUGUGAAGAGAACCUGAAUCCCAAUGCUCACCCGAGACCCACUUCCCAGGAUUUGGCGGGGUUUUGGGACAUGCUGCAGUUGUCCAUAGAAA